Molecule: ribosomal RNA, 363 nt
Filed under: uncultured bacterium
Lineage: Bacteria
Description: partial 16S ribosomal RNA
Rfam family: Bacterial small subunit ribosomal RNA
Source: RNAcentral
CCUACGGGCGGCAGCAGUGAGGAAUAUUGAUCAAUGGGCGGAAGCCUGAACCAGCCAAGUAGCGUGCGGGAUGAAGGCCCUACGGGUUGUAAACCGCUUUUGCACGGGGAUAACACCCUCCACUUGUGGAGGUCUGCAGGUACCGUGCGAAUAAGGGCCGGCUAAUUCCGUGCCAGCAGCCGCGGUAAUACGGAGGGCUCGAGCGUUAUCCGGAUUUAUUGGGCUUAAAGGGAGCGUAGGCGGGCGUUCAAGUCAGCUGUAAAAUCGCGCGGCUCAACCGCGCCCCGCAGUUGAUACUGGACGCCUAGAGUGCACAACAGGCAGGCGGAAUGCGUGGUGUAGCGGUGAAAUGCAUAGAGAUCA